GUUGUGCACAUCACGUGAGUACGAACUGUG
RNAcentral lists this small nuclear RNA (30 nucleotides) under Phaeodactylum tricornutum CCAP 1055/1. RNAcentral describes it as "snRNA PTsRNA00017a". The record is from RNAcentral. Lineage: Eukaryota; Bacillariophyta; Bacillariophyceae; Surirellales; Neidiaceae.